This is a long non-coding RNA of Cairina moschata (Muscovy duck), 2810 nucleotides long. Lineage: Eukaryota; Metazoa; Chordata; Aves; Anseriformes; Anatidae. The record is from Ensembl.
GAACUAAGUUUCAAUCAGUUUAGCAGUAAUCAGCAGCCAAGUAGAGAAAAGAGACUCAAAGAAGUGCCCUCACUGUGCAAAAAGCAGCCAAAUAAAUGCACCAUUAUCUGCUCAGCUCAGCACGCCAGGCAGCUGAUCAGCAGGGCUGAGGUUGCUGGUUGUCUUUGCAUUGCUCAGAGCUGGUCGCAGUACGAGCUGCCAGGUAAUGGCCAGGGGACCAGAGAGGGAGCGGAGGGAACCGGCUACCACAGAGACAGCAAAGGAGGUAUUUUGUGGAUGACGUGCUGGAGAAAUGUGGUUAAAAAUAGAAGCCAUUCAAGCAAAGCUGUGAUAACAGGAAUAACUGGGAUUUUUCUCUAAGGAAAUGAAUACUCCCUUUGCAGGGCAGUAGAAGCCCCAAGCUCACCUUCGGAUUCCAAAUCCAGAAGCAUUCUGCUAAGCAAUGUAAAACAACUUAUUUGUUGCUCAUGGCUCUGUCAGUCGUGUUUGUUUUUGUUUGUUUGCUUUGUUUUUGUUUUGUUUUGUUUUGUUUUUUCCCUCCACGUUUUAAACAUCAGUCUGCAAUCUUCUAUAGUCCCAGUAGAGGGCAAUAUAAUUAAGCCAUUUUUAGAAGGCUUUUCAAGACUGUUGCUGUAACUGGCUCCUACGGCAUGCCUCAGGUUUUGUUGCUGCUCCGGGUUUGAGUUCUAAUGCCAAAUGUAUUAAAAUUAAAUAAAUUAAAUCUGCUUUUGAUCCCAGAAAGGUUCGUACUGCCUUUUCUUUUUUCCUUUUUACUGCACAAAAGACAUGGAUACAUUCUCAAUACCUGAAAUCAUCUCUAUAGAAAAUCAAGAUAUAGCCUUGUUCACUACCAUUUUUCCUUGUCCGCAGCCACUCCCCUGACUGUAGAUGUUGUUAUAGCAUGCCUCAUAUCCAUAACUAAUCUGCACUUGUAUGUAGUUUUAAAAAGAUUAAUAUGUAAUAAUAAAUAAUCAAUGUAAUAUGUAAUAAUAAAUAAUUAAUUAAAAAAUAAUAAAUAUGUAGUUUUAAAAAGAUUAAUUGACAAAUUGGAAGAAAAUCAAUUGAAAGUACAUGAUAAAUGUUAUUUAAUUCAUUAUAUGGCUUUGCUAUUCAUACACGUUUAUCUGUGCUGGUAGACGUUCACAUAAAUAUGAAAUGAAACCUCACUUUCUACGUGUAACUGAAGGGAAACCUGCACUGAGAAUAAUAGGAAAGCAUUAUUUUACAGUAUGUAAGUUUAUGGGCCAUGAGAGAUUAUGCAAUGUUUCUAAAGAUUAUCCCAAUGAUAAGGCUCUGUGGUUUUAUUUACUGAGGUUUAGAUACAUUUAGGCAUUUAAAAGUUCUUAGAAAGAUAACCAAAGCUCUAAGACAAGAACUGAAUAGCCACCUGACAGAUUUCAUAAAAUCUCACAACAGUACAAUGAACUGUAUUAGAGUUUCAUAAGUCAUGAAGGAAAAAUAUUCCCUACUGAGCAGUCAAGAGAACACCAAGAACAGCUGGUAAGUCUGACAGUGUGAUUUCCUUCUCCUCAAGUGUACAGAGACAAAAGUAUGAAACAGCUGGAAAAUAUAUUCAAAGUAUGACUGGCACAGUGUCACAAUAAAAGUGUCAGGUAAGUUCAUUGCAAGCCAGUAGCUUUAUUUAUUUCCUGUCUAAUUUGUAUGUGGAUGGAAAUGGUAAGUAAAGUGGCAAUGCAUUUCUCUGCAUGUUUACAUAGAUUCCAUAAGUGCAAAGAAUGAUCCUGUGCUAAAAGUACUUCACUGCAGUGUGUAAAUUCAAUUCCAUUUGGCAUCUUCAGUUCCCUAUGUAUAAAAUGGCUACAGUAUUUCUUGUAUGACUUGUCUGUGUGACUUGUGCAUCAUGAGUUGUGCAGCAGCAGGAGAUUGCAAUUGCUUCUACAAGCCAAAUAUUCACAAUAAAAAGCCAGUCCUUGGCUGCAGAUCCUUGCAGAGAAAGAAGUAUCUUAUGUUUUACUAAUAUAUACAUAAAUAUAUAUACAAUAUAUGUGUAUAUAUACCGUACCUAAUACAACUCCAAGACCAGCUGAUAGUUUUCAAAUGUAUUGUAAUGUAACUAGAAAAGUAUACAUAUUAAGAAGCCAAAGUUACUAAAAGACAGAUUUAUCUUUGCACAAAACAUUUAUUUAUUUAUUUAUUUAUUUUUCCAGCAGAUCACAAUGAAUGUGUGUGAACAACUUUACUAGUAUGAAACAGGAUAUAUGGUACCAUAAAGGAGACUACAUGCUGGGUCUCCUUGCAUUUCCAUUAAUUUCUUAAUCAGACCAAGAAGAAAGGCUUGUGAAGACAGAACUGAUAUUUCCUUGUUUCUAUUUCACCUUUUCAGAUCACAUGGUCUAGCAGCCAUUUCCAAUUGUUAAAUGGCUUAUUUAUUUUCAUGGAAAUAGCUAUUACAGAAGCAAAAGUUUCUUCUGUACCCCUUUUAUCUAUGGUGUUCUGUAUACACUAAGAAGCCAGACAGGAUGUCUCUGUCUCUCUAAUGUCUCUGUACAUUAGAAGUUUAUAGUGGGGGAAAAAAAAAAAAAAAAAAAGUCUUCUUUGUAUUGAAGAAUGACAGACAGGAAUAUAAAAUUGCCAAAAUGUUUAUCAGAGAACCUCUACAAGCAAUGGAAGUAAAUGUGCCUGACAGUUAAAAAGUUUUUGACAUUCUAACAUUCUAGAAAUAGUGAAGUACUGAGGGAAUAGUGAAGUUUCCAUUCUUGCAGGUCUUGAAGGUGCAGAAGUUUAAAUAAACAUCUGAUAGAAAAAAAAUAAAAAUCAAAAUAAACCUUUGAUCUAAAUUAUCCUGCUUU